Molecule: ribosomal RNA, 496 nt
Filed under: uncultured bacterium
Lineage: Bacteria
Description: partial 16S ribosomal RNA
Rfam family: Bacterial small subunit ribosomal RNA
Source: RNAcentral
GAUGAACGCUGGCGGCGUGCCUAAUACAUGCAAGUCGAGCGAACAGACGAGGAGCUUGCUCCUCUGACGUUAGCGGCGGACGGGUGAGUAACACGUGGAUAACCUACCUAUAAGACUGGGAUAACUUCGGGAAACCGGAGCUAAUACCGGAUAAUAUAUUGAACCGCAUGGUUCAAUAGUGAAAGACGGUUUUGCUGUCACUUAUAGAUGGAUCCGCGCCGCAUUAGCUAGUUGGUAAGGUAACGGCUUACCAAGGCAACGAUGCGUAGCCGACCUGAGAGGGUGAUCGGCCACACUGGAACUGAGACACGGUCCAGACUCCUACGGGAGGCAGCAGUAGGGAAUCUUCGCAAUGGGCGAAAGCCUGACGGAGCAACGCCGCGUGAGUGAUGAAGGUCUUCGGAUCGUAAAACUCUGUUAUUAGGGAAGAACAAAUGUGUAAGUAACUAUGCACGUCUUGACGGUACCUAAUCAGAAAGCCACGGCUAACUACGUG